This 397-nucleotide ribosomal RNA is filed under the name uncultured bacterium. Its description in RNAcentral is "partial 16S ribosomal RNA". It matches the Rfam family "Bacterial small subunit ribosomal RNA", at positions 523 to 918 of the family's 1533-position model. The record is from RNAcentral.
AUACGUAGGGGGCGAGCGUUGUCCGGAAUGAUUGGGCGUAAAGGGCGCGUAGGCGGCCUGUUAAGUCUGGAGUGAAAGUCCUGUUUUCAAGAUGGGAAUUGCUUUGGAUACUGAUGGGCUUGAGUGCAGGAGAGGUUAUCGGAAUUCCCGGUGUAGCGGUGAAAUGCGUAGAGAUCGGGAGGAACACCAGUGGCGAAGGCGGGUAACUGGACUGCAACUGACGCUGAGGCGCGAAAGUGUGGGGAGCAAACAGGAGUAGAUACCCUGGUAGUCCACACUGUAAACGAUGAAUGCUAGGUGUAAGAGGUAUCGACCCCUUUUGUGCCGGAGUUAACACAAUAAGCAUUCCGCCUGGGGAGUACGGCCGCAAGGUUGAAACUCAAAUGAAUUGACGGGG